Molecule: long non-coding RNA, 1085 nt
Organism: Catharus ustulatus (Swainson's thrush)
Lineage: Eukaryota; Metazoa; Chordata; Aves; Passeriformes; Turdidae
Exons: 4
Source: RefSeq, a predicted model, not a curated record
GCAAGGAUGCAGAGGUCUUGGAUAAAUGACUGGAGAAGAGUUGUUUGAGGAAAUGCUCAGAAUCAAGCAUGGAAUGAUAGAGGUUGUGCAUGACCAUAAGCAGACUGAAACAUCUUCCUCUUCCCUGAGGUCUAAGAAUCUGGCUGCUGGGUUGGAAAAUCUGUCUGCAGAGUGAAUGAACUAAAACCUGUGAAAAGAAAAUGAAGGGAGUUAAACCAGAACUGUGGAUCUCCUGGGCUAGGUUUAAGCUGCAAUGCUAAGAUGCAGUUAUCAUCCAUUUAAACAAUGCCAAACCUCUGAGCCUGCUCUCCCUUGUGCCGGUACCAACAACAGUGAUCAGUGUUGGAACAAUGAGACUCGCCCUGAAGUUACUGAUCGAGGGGCACUGCUGUCACACGGACCAAAGGAAAAGGUAGAAGUCUCUGCCAGAGCAACUGUGUUACUUGUUAAAGGUGUGUGUCCCCACAGCCCUGGACUUGCUGUCACUCCUGACAUGAUCAGUGAGAUGACUGGGACCUUUAUGACCUUAAAAUGGAAGUACGAACAAGAAUGUAAAACUGUGCUGAGAUUAAUUUGUUCCUCUCUAACUCAGUAAUCUUGUGAGUGCUACAAAUGAAAGGACAUUCCCUGCUUAACAAAAGCUUCUCUUGUGCUCUGAUUGUCCUACUUUAGCUUUCUUUAUUUCAUUACCCAGCUCCAUACAAGAUCUUGAGAGUGUGGUGCAGAAUACGAUGCAGAAAUAUACUCAGUCUUCAAAGUAGGAAUGUAGUGAAUGCUCCUAAAUCAGGAUAGCAGCACAUCUCUGAGUUACUUGUGGAUAUAGAUUCACAGUAAUGAACAAUUGGGUCAGUCCGUAUUUAUUCCUUCUUGUGAAAAUACAAAAAAUAUAUAACUACCAUAAAACAUUAUGUUACUUUCAUGAAGAUACAAAAGGUAUAAUCUGUUUAUAAUACAGGGAGUUAUUUGUGUCUUCAUUGGGGACUUUAUGAUGCAAAUGACUAGUUCUUACCUUCACUGAUCUCAGGCAAUGGAUGUCGUUGUCACAAGGCUGGAACAUCAUUUGUUAUUUCUUUGGUGUGGUACUU